AGCGAACGCUGGCGGCAUGCUUAACACAUGCAAGUCGCGCGGUCAGUAAUGGCAGCGGCGGACGGGUGAGUAACACGUAGGAAUCUAUCCCAGGGUGGGGGACAACAGCGGGAAACUGCUGCUAAUACCGCAUGAUACCUGAGGGUCAAAGGCGCAAGUCGCCUUGGGAGGAGCCUGCGUCUGAUUAGCUUGUUGGUGGGGUAAAGGCCUACCAAGGCGACGAUCAGUAGCUGGUCUGAGAGGAUGAUCAGCCACAUUGGGACUGAGACACGGCCCAA
Molecule: ribosomal RNA, 278 nt
Filed under: uncultured bacterium
Lineage: Bacteria
Description: partial 16S ribosomal RNA
Rfam family: Bacterial small subunit ribosomal RNA
Source: RNAcentral